This 1218-nucleotide unclassified non-coding RNA is filed under the name Hevea brasiliensis (rubber tree). Lineage: Eukaryota; Viridiplantae; Streptophyta; Magnoliopsida; Malpighiales; Euphorbiaceae. The record is from RNAcentral.
GAGAGAGAGAGAGAGAGAAGAGGAUAAACAAUAAGCAGUAAAAGCUAAUAUUUCCAAGAAUAGAAGGUAGGAGAAAGGCAGCAAAUGGCUCAAAUCACUUCUUACAAAUGGACAACUGGACAUGGUUGCUGAACAAGACCAAUGGUAUCUCUAAAGUCAAAGAACCAUCAUGCAAUUGUUCUUAACCACAAAGGUCAUUAAUUACCCCACACACAAUUAAGAAAAAUUAUACAAUGAAACCGAUGUAUGUACAACGGUUUCAUUGUAACCGUUGAUUGUGAUGGGUUUCAUCAGGAUCAAUGAUUAUAAUUAAACCAUUGUAGUUACAACAAAUAAAAAUUCCACAAUUAAGGCAAUGGUAAGUUGGCAAAUGUCACGAUUUCAUAUAAUAAUUAUAUUCAAUGCCAUUGUUGAUGUGCCCAUUAUAUUCAAUGGAUGAUAGCACCAAAUACAAAGAGGAGAUCAGCAGAAAAAGAGAUAAACUAGUAAGAUCAGGCCCUUUUUUACUUUUCCUUUUUGGUGCAAUGGCUGAACUAUACAACAAAGGGUAAAAAUGCUCCCUUGAACCUAAUAUAUCUAGUGUAAGCACCAUAUCAGCCAGGUUUCUUCAGACAACACCAUGUGACUAUGCUAACUUUAAUAGCUAAACUAUCCAAAUGCCACCAUUGUUUUACAACACCAUAGAUAUUGCAGUAGAAAUGGAUUAGCUGAUCUUUGACAUUAAAAAACCAUAUAGAGGGCUAAUUUGAUCAUUUUACCCAGAAUUCAAAACUAGUGACAAAGCUUCACAAAACCAAUCUUAUAAGCAGCUGUAGGUAUGAGAAGAUUAAAGAUGCCUUGUUUUAAAUAUUCUGAUAGUGCAGCGAAAGAAUUUGUUUAAAAAAAAAUUCCUGAAUCUACCUUAAUUCUUAUGAAUCCUAGUUGGCACAGAAUUACAUCUAAGAAGUAGCUAGCUGAACUUCGACAUUAGUUCUCCAAUAUUUAAGUUUGAUGGCAACAAAGUUAAUAAAAUGUCCCUUUCAAAAAUACAGUCAUAUCAAAGAUAGCUCUAUGUGUACCCACAUUAGAUACUACUGAAGCUAUCAUUUUCCUGUUGAUUAACAUAUCAAAGAAACCAACAAAUGAAGCUGGUAUAGUGGAGUGCAUAAAAGUAACUAACAAAGAUAACACAAAGCAUAAAGGUAGACUAUCUCACCGAGUAUGUGAGGAGAGUUUCCA